AACGAACGCUGGCGGCAUGCCUAACACAUGCAAGUCGAACGAGAACUUCGGGUCUAGUGGCGCUCGGGUGCGUACCGCGUGGUAAUCUGCCCUUGGGUUCGCUAUAACUGUUGGAAACGUCUGCUAAUACCGCAUGCUGACGUAAGUCCAAAGAUUUCUCGCGCAGGGCUGGGCCCGGGUAAGUUUAGCUUGUUGGUGGGGUAAACGCCUACCAAGGAGACGAUCCUUAGCUGGUCUGAGAGCCAGAUCAGCGGCACUGGGACUGAGACACGUCCUAGGACCAUAGGCGACGCUGCAGGUGGGAAUAUUAGGCAAGGGUCGAUAGCCUGAACCAGCUGGGCUGCGUGUGCCGUGAAGGCAUUAGGGGUGUAAGUUUCUCUGAAUCGGGAUGUUAAUGACAGUACCGGGAGAAGAAGCCCCGGCUAACUCCGUG
Molecule: ribosomal RNA, 433 nt
Filed under: uncultured bacterium
Lineage: Bacteria
Description: partial 16S ribosomal RNA
Rfam family: Bacterial small subunit ribosomal RNA
Source: RNAcentral